RNAcentral lists this ribosomal RNA (253 nucleotides) under uncultured bacterium. RNAcentral's name for it is "partial 16S ribosomal RNA". It matches the Rfam family "Bacterial small subunit ribosomal RNA", at positions 524 to 776 of the family's 1533-position model. The record is from RNAcentral.
UACGGAGGGCGCAAGCGUUGUUCGGAUUCACUGGGCAUAAAGAGCACGUAGGCGGUCUGCUCAGUCGGGUGUGAAAGCCCACGGCCUAACCGUGGAACUGCACCCGAUACUGGUAGACUCGAGGACGGAAGGGGUGAGUGGAACUCCAGGUGGAACGGUGAAAUGUAUAGAUAUCUGGAGGAACACCGGUGGCGAAAGCGGCUCACUGGUCCGUCUCUGACGCUGAGGUGCGAAAGCUAGGGUAGCGAACGGG